RNAcentral lists this non-coding RNA (28 nucleotides) under Cricetulus griseus (Chinese hamster). The record is from RNAcentral. Lineage: Eukaryota; Metazoa; Chordata; Mammalia; Rodentia; Cricetidae.
CUUCUGCAGACUUCAGGGCACAGCAGCG